This 22-nucleotide microRNA is filed under the name Homo sapiens (human). RNAcentral describes it as "hsa-miR-4799-3p". The record is from miRBase by way of RNAcentral. Lineage: Eukaryota; Metazoa; Chordata; Mammalia; Primates; Hominidae.
ACUGGCAUGCUGCAUUUAUAUA